GGUACAGCUAAGUGCUGUACUAGACUCAGAAGGGGUUGGGUGACUCGGUCAAGGACGACUGGACAAGCAAUAAAUUCUGGAAGCAGGUUGAACUUUCAGUUUACUAACUACACUACUCUUCUGGCUUUCCUUCGCUGUCUUGUGCAGCGUCUGCCACAUGAGGGGCAGAAUGAUUGUUGGAGGCAACAAGGUGGAUCUGCUUACCUCCGCCCUGGGACACGGUGUCGCUGCUGGGGGGAUCGAUGCUCACUGAGGAUGGAGGAGGAGAGGCAGGCAGGCAGCCAAGCAGUCAGCUGGAGGAAGCCCUCAACCUCAGCUCAAGUGACGCCGUCACCUAAGAGGUCCCAGCAGGCCCCCGCAGAGACAGAGAGGGGGUGCGCCGCCCGAUGCUGGAGCCAUGUCCUCUCACAAAGGAACACAGGCCAUCGUCCCCCAAAGGUUGAAGAGGACAGCGGGUAAUGGAUAUUGUAGGCUUCAGUCUAUAACAGGAAAAACCGAGACCACCGCUGACAGUUGUUUAAUUGGGAGUCAGAUAUUCUGACGCUAAUCGUUGGGAGAAGUCCAAUAUCGCUUAAAGUACAUUAAGACCAAGUAACAAAAGGAAGUAGGAAUAACACUAUAAAAAGCUGCCCAUUCACUGGUGAAGCCACCUGAUGAAGUGAGACUGCUGCUUAUAACUGUAACUAAACUAAAUGAUCUGUAAAACAUAUCCAUGGCCUCUCUACCCCAAAACAUAACCGGCCGGAGGUGGAAAAUUGUCAUUAUAGAGUUGCCUUUGGGAAGACUACUGUACCUGGAACAGGCUUAUGAAAGGCAAACUCCCCGUGUGGGGCCACCUCAUCAGUCUGUGCAGCCUGCGUGUCAGAGACAGCCUGCUGUUGACUGCAGCUCUAACGAAUCAGUGGCAAUGUGGAAGGAAGGGGCCCGGUGAAGCCCUGCGGGGUCACCUGGGAGCAGGACAAUGAGUCUGGAAGGCCCCAAGCUCCCAAUGAUUUAAUCACUGUAUGUGACAUGUUCAGCCAGUGGCAUCAGUGGGAGAUACAGUAGUUUGCUCACUGAGGACUGAGCUGUGAUACUGCAGCAGGAGGUGUUGUGUGGUUAAAAUGUUCAUAUUGUUGUAUUGAGAGUCAAGAAUGAAAAAAAAGCUGCUGUUUUAAAAAGAGUGAAACUGUUUCACAGAUGAGACUGUUAACCAGAGAUAACUUCUUGGCUUCUCUACACACAGACGUCACCUUUGACCUCUCCAAUUCAAACAGGGCCGGUGCAGGUUCGCCACCCUGCUGGCGUAUAAAUAACAGAGCGCACGUCCGAGACGAUCGCCUCUGGAGAGAAGCUACUGCAUCAGCGAGUUCUGCAACCCCAGUGACUGUUGCCCUCGCUGGGGGUUAAAGGUCAAUAAUAGAGCAAUUCCAAGUAGAAGAAUGUGUAACACUAUGGUUUGUGGCAGUGUCUGGGCUGGAAUUCACUUUGUGGGAGUCAAUAAACACAGGAUGAAGUACGGUACA
Long non-coding RNA from Betta splendens (Siamese fighting fish), 1505 nucleotides. Lineage: Eukaryota; Metazoa; Chordata; Actinopteri; Anabantiformes; Osphronemidae. The record is from Ensembl.